This 184-nucleotide ribosomal RNA is filed under the name Klebsiella pneumoniae. RNAcentral's name for it is "partial 23S ribosomal RNA". It matches the Rfam family "Bacterial large subunit ribosomal RNA", at positions 2743 to 2925 of the family's 2925-position model. Lineage: Bacteria; Pseudomonadati; Pseudomonadota; Gammaproteobacteria; Enterobacterales; Enterobacteriaceae. The record is from RNAcentral. RNAcentral also lists the same sequence under 1 other name.
GGGUAGCUACGUAUGGAUGUGAUAAACGCUGAAAGCAUCUAAGUGUGAAACACACCUCGAGAUGAGAUUUCCCAUUCCUUUAUGGAAGUAAGACCCCUGAAAGAUGAUCAGGUAGAUAGGUUAGAAGUGGCAGUGCGGUGACGCAUGAAGCGGACUAAUACUAAUCGGUCGAGGACUUAACCAA